RNAcentral lists this transfer RNA (73 nucleotides) under Ictidomys tridecemlineatus (thirteen-lined ground squirrel). RNAcentral's name for it is "Spermophilus tridecemlineatus (thirteen-lined ground squirrel) tRNA". It matches the Rfam family "tRNA". From Rfam's summary of the family: Transfer RNA (tRNA) molecules are approximately 80 nucleotides in length. Their secondary structure includes four short double-helical elements and three loops (D, anti-codon, and T loops). RNAcentral also lists the same sequence under 1 other name. The record is from Rfam by way of RNAcentral. Lineage: Eukaryota; Metazoa; Chordata; Mammalia; Rodentia; Sciuridae.
AGGGAUAUAGCUCAGUUGGUAAAGUGCUUGCCUCACAUGUAGAAGGCCCUGGGUUCAAUACCCAGCAUUACAA